This 492-nucleotide ribosomal RNA is filed under the name uncultured bacterium. Its description in RNAcentral is "partial 16S ribosomal RNA". It matches the Rfam family "Bacterial small subunit ribosomal RNA", at positions 29 to 507 of the family's 1533-position model. The record is from RNAcentral.
AGUGAACGCUGGCGGUAGGCCUAACACAUGCAAGUCGAACGGCAGCACAGUAAGAGCUUGCUCUUACGGGUGGCGAGUGGCGGACGGGUGAGGAAUACAUCGGAAUCUACUUUUUCGUGGGGGAUAACGUAGGGAAACUUACGCUAAUACCGCAUACGACCUACGGGUGAAAGCAGGGGAUCUUCGGACCUUGCGCGAUUGAAUGAGCCGAUAUCGGAUUAGCUAGUUGGCGGGGUGAAGGCCCACCAAGGCGACGAUCCGUAGCUGGUCUGAGAGGAUGAUCAGCCACACUGGAACUGAGACACGGUCCAGACUCCUACGGGAGGCAGCAGUGGGGAAUAUUGGACAAUGGGCGCAGGCCUGAUCCAGCCAUACCGCGUGGGUGAAGAAGGCCUUCGGGUUGUAAAGCCCUUUUGUUGGGAAAGAAAAGCAGCAGGUUAAUACCCCGCUGUUCUGACGGUACCCAAAGAAUAAGCACCGGCUAACUUCGUG